GGAAUAUUGGGCAAUGGGCGCAAGCCUGACCCAGCAACGCCGCGUGAGGGAAGAAGGUUUUCGGAUUGUAAACCUCUGUCCUCGAUGAAAAGGAGAAGAUGGUAAUUGAGGAGGAAGCCCCGGCUAACUACGUGCCAGCAGCCGCGGUAAUACGUAGGGGGCGAGCGUUGUCCGGAAUGAUUGGGCGUAAAGGGCGUGUAGGCGGCUUGGUAAGUCUGGAGUGAAAGUCCUGCUUUCAAGGUGGGAAUUGCUUUGGAUACUGUCGGGCUAGAGUGCAGGAGAGGUUAUCGGAAUUCCCGGUGUAGCGGUGAAAUGCGUAGAGAUCGGGAGGAACACCAGUGGCGAAGGCGGGUAACUGGACUGCAACUGACGCUGAGGCGCGAAAGUGUGGGGAGCAAACA
This 401-nucleotide ribosomal RNA is filed under the name uncultured bacterium. RNAcentral's name for it is "bacterial SSU rRNA". It matches the Rfam family "Bacterial small subunit ribosomal RNA", at positions 358 to 774 of the family's 1533-position model. The record is from RNAcentral.